GCGCGAGGCGUGAGCGGCUUCUCCCAUUACAGUGGUUCCCACGGUUGUCUUAGAAACCAGUCCUCAAGGCUUGGCAAAGCGGGAGCCUUCCGCGGCAGAGCUUGGGUGUCCAGGAAACCCCAGGCAGAGUCCUGGGGUAGCAGCACGGCAUCCUAGCCUCAGGCCUGCCCGGACGGCGUUGGUUGGGCUACAUUGAGGCCGGGUGCAGUGGCUCACACCUAAUCCCAGUUCUUUGGGAGGCUGAGGCCAGCGGAUCACAAAGUCAGGAGAUCAAGACCAUCCUGGCCAACACAGUGAAACCCCGUCUCUUCAAAUAUACAAAGAAUUAGCCAGAGAAGCAGGGAAUCUGGAAUUUUGGGUGAAAUGUCUGUUUCCAGAAGCUGAAAAUGCUCUCAAAUGGAAAAUUCAGAAUGGCCUGGGGUACUGCACACUUCCUACCAGGAACAGAAGGCCCCACAGCUAUAGCACCUCUCUUCCCUUUAGUUCUUUGGAAGGAUGAGCAAAUUAUUCACCCUCUCUGAGCCUUAGUUUUCUCAUCCAUAAAAUGAUGACAGUUCACCAACCUGGCAGGUCACAAGGAUGUUAUGAAAUCAGAGUGCAGUGAAUAGAAGACACUUCUCUGCACCCCAAAAGCUCCAUGCUGAUUGAGAGAAGGAAAUGCUGGAUGGAGGGGUUCCUGGAACUACUGUGAGGGAAAUGGUGAGAGAACUUUGGAUGUGGAACGUGGAGAGGAGGAACACGAAGUGGGGAUCUGCACUUGGGGUGGUCAGCACUGCGGAUGCCCAGCAAAGUCACUGCCUGGUCCACAUCCCGAAGGGGUCUCUGCGCC
Molecule: small RNA, 829 nt
Filed under: Pan troglodytes (chimpanzee)
Lineage: Eukaryota; Metazoa; Chordata; Mammalia; Primates; Hominidae
Description: processed transcript
Source: RNAcentral